UCUGAGAUGCAGUUGUGCCUGAUA
RNAcentral lists this non-coding RNA (24 nucleotides) under Mus musculus (house mouse). RNAcentral also lists the same sequence under 1 other name. The record is from RNAcentral. Lineage: Eukaryota; Metazoa; Chordata; Mammalia; Rodentia; Muridae.